Molecule: unclassified non-coding RNA, 303 nt
Filed under: uncultured Ascomycota
Lineage: Eukaryota; Fungi; Ascomycota
Description: sequence contains ITS1
Rfam family: 5.8S ribosomal RNA (bases 1-105)
Source: RNAcentral
GAAAUGCGAUAAGUAGUGUGAAUUGCAGAAUUCAGUGAAUCAUCGAAUCUUUGAACGCACAUUGCGCCCCUUGGUACUCCAUGGGGCAUGCCUGUUCGAGCGUCAUUCAACCCCUCAAGCUCUGCUUGGUGUUGGGCGUCUGUCCCGCUGCUUUGCGUGGACUCGUCCUAAAGCUAUUGGCAGCGGUCGUGCCGGGCUCUCGCGUAGUGGUUUGCGUUUCUCGAGCCACCGGUGGGCCAGCGUCCAUCAAGCCCACUUCUACGACUUGACCUCGGAUCAGGUAGGGAUACCCGCUGAACUUAA